Molecule: ribosomal RNA, 254 nt
Filed under: uncultured bacterium
Lineage: Bacteria
Description: partial 16S ribosomal RNA
Rfam family: Bacterial small subunit ribosomal RNA
Source: RNAcentral
UACGGAGGGUGCGAGCGUUAUCCGGAUUCACUGGGUUUAAAGGGCGCGUAGGCGGUCAGCACAAGUCAGUUGUGAAAUCUCCGGGCUUAACUCGGAAAGGUCAACUGAUACUGUGCGACUAGAGUGCAGAAGGGGCAACUGGAAUUCUCGGUGUAGCGGUGAAAUGCGUAGAUAUCGAGAGGAACACCUGCGGCGAAGGCGGGUUGCUGGGCUGACACUGACGCUGAUGCGCGAAAGCCAGGGGAGCGAACGGG